UAACCGAAAGGUUGGUGGUUCGAGCC
Molecule: non-coding RNA, 26 nt
Filed under: Bombyx mori (domestic silkworm)
Lineage: Eukaryota; Metazoa; Arthropoda; Insecta; Lepidoptera; Bombycidae
Also listed under: 7 other names
Source: RNAcentral